This is a non-coding RNA of Paenibacillus sp. Soil787, 164 nucleotides long. The record is from Rfam. NCBI's taxonomy places the organism in Bacteria, Bacillati, Bacillota, Bacilli, Caryophanales, Paenibacillaceae.
UGCACCACGCAUGGCGAUGGAAGAUGGAGGAAAACUUCCGGCCCGAGGAACACAAACAUCAUCAGGCGAAAGGAAUGGGAUGAGCUCGCAUGACAGGGAAAAUCCAAUACACUACACGGACAUUCCAAUUUAAAUGGUACGGGCACAUACCUGCAGAGGCCAUA